This 500-nucleotide ribosomal RNA is filed under the name Vibrio alginolyticus. RNAcentral's name for it is "bacterial SSU rRNA". It matches the Rfam family "Bacterial small subunit ribosomal RNA", at positions 102 to 598 of the family's 1533-position model. The record is from RNAcentral. Lineage: Bacteria; Pseudomonadati; Pseudomonadota; Gammaproteobacteria; Vibrionales; Vibrionaceae.
ACGGGUGAGUAAUGCCUAGGAAAUUGCCCUGAUGUGGGGGAUAACCAUUGGAAACGAUGGCUAAUACCGCAUGAUGCCUACGGGCCAAAGAGGGGGACCUUCGGGCCUCUCGCGUCAGGAUAUGCCUAGGUGGGAUUAGCUAGUUGGUGAGGUAAGGGCUCACCAAGGCGACGAUCCCUAGCUGGUCUGAGAGGAUGAUCAGCCACACUGGAACUGAGACACGGUCCAGACUCCUACGGGAGGCAGCAGUGGGGAAUAUUGCACAAUGGGCGCAAGCCUGAUGCAGCCAUGCCGCGUGUGUGAAGAAGGCCUUCGGGUUGUAAAGCACUUUCAGUCGUGAGGAAGGUGGUGUCGUUAAUAGCUGCAUCAUUUGACGUUAGCGACAGAAGAAGCACCGGCUAACUCCGUGCCAGCAGCCGCGGUAAUACGGAGGGUGCGAGCGUUAAUCGGAAUUACUGGGCGUAAAGCGCAUGCAGGUGGUUUGUUAAGUCAGAUGUGAA